GACGAACGCUGGCGGCGUGCCUAAUACAUGCAAGUCGAACGCACUCUCGUUUAGAUUGAAGGAGUUUGCUCCUGAUUGAUCAACAUUUGAGUGAGUGGCGGACGGGUGAGUAACACGUGGGUAACCUGCCCUAAAGUGGGGGAUAACAUUUGGAAACAGAUGCUAAUACCGCAUAAAACCUAACACCGCAUGGUGUAGGGUUGAAAGAUGGUUUCGGCUAUCACUUUAGGAUGGACCCGCGGUGCAUUAGUUAGUUGGUGAGGUAAAGGCUCACCAAGACCGUGAUGCAUAGCCGACCUGAGAGGGUAAUCGGCCACACUGGGACUGAGACACGGCCCAGACUCCUACGGGAGGCAGCAGUAGGGAAUCUUCCACAAUGGACGAAAGUCUGAUGGAGCAACGCCGCGUGAGUGAAGAAGGUUUUCGGAUCGUAAAACUCUGUUGUUGGAGAAGAAUGUAUCUGAUAGUAACUGAUCAGGUAGUGACGGUAUCCAACCAGAAAGCCACGGCUAACUACGUG
This 520-nucleotide ribosomal RNA is filed under the name uncultured bacterium. RNAcentral describes it as "partial 16S ribosomal RNA". It matches the Rfam family "Bacterial small subunit ribosomal RNA", at positions 28 to 507 of the family's 1533-position model. The record is from RNAcentral.